RNAcentral lists this ribosomal RNA (251 nucleotides) under uncultured bacterium. RNAcentral describes it as "partial 16S ribosomal RNA". It matches the Rfam family "Bacterial small subunit ribosomal RNA", at positions 30 to 279 of the family's 1533-position model. The record is from RNAcentral.
AUUGAACGCUGGCGGCAUGCCUUACACAUGCAAGUCGAACGGCAGCACGGGAGCUUGGCUCCUGGUGGCGAGUGGCGAACGGGUGAGUAAUAUAUCGGAACGUACCCUAGAGUGGGGAUAACGCAGCGAAAGUUGCGCUAAUACCGCAUACGAUCUACGGAUGAAAGUGGGGGAUCGCAAGACCUCAUGCUCAUGGAGCGGCCGAUAUCUGAUUAGCUAGUUGGUGGGUAAAGGCCGUACCAAGGCUUCGA